RNAcentral lists this transfer RNA (72 nucleotides) under Embleya hyalina. RNAcentral describes it as "tRNA-Ser". Lineage: Bacteria; Bacillati; Actinomycetota; Actinomycetes; Kitasatosporales; Streptomycetaceae. The record is from RNAcentral.
GGGCGCGAUCGGCGAGGUGCCCUCGGCGCUGGACCCGCCGUCGGGCUGCGCGUUCCAUCCGCGGUGUGCCCU